RNAcentral lists this ribosomal RNA (694 nucleotides) under uncultured Pseudomonadota bacterium. RNAcentral describes it as "bacterial SSU rRNA". It matches the Rfam family "Bacterial small subunit ribosomal RNA", at positions 70 to 760 of the family's 1533-position model. The record is from RNAcentral. Lineage: Bacteria; Pseudomonadati; Pseudomonadota.
UGAGAAAAGCUUGCUCUUCGAUUCAGCGGCGGACGGGUGAGUAAUGCCUAGGAAUCUGCCUGGUAGUGGGGGACAACGUUUCGAAAGGAACGCUAAUACCGCAUACGUCCUACGGGAGAAAGCAGGGGACCUUCGGGCCUUGCGCUAUCAGAUGAGCCUAGGUCGGAUUAGCUAGUUGGUGAGGUAAUGGCUCACCAAGGCGACGAUCCGUAACUGGUCUGAGAGGAUGAUCAGUCACACUGGAACUGAGACACGGUCCAGACUCCUACGGGAGGCAGCAGUGGGGAAUAUUGGACAAUGGGCGAAAGCCUGAUCCAGCCAUGCCGCGUGUGUGAAGAAGGUCUUCGGAUUGUAAAGCACUUUAAGUUGGGAGGAAGGGCAGUAAGUUAAUACCUUGCUGUUUUGACGUUACCGACAGAAUAAGCACCGGCUAACUCUGUGCCAGCAGCCGCGGUAAUACAGAGGGUGCAAGCGUUAAUCGGAAUUACUGGGCGUAAAGCGCGCGUAGGUGGUUCGUUAAGUUGGAUGUGAAAGCCCCGGGCUCAACCUGGGAACUGCAUCCAAAACUGGCGAGCUAGAGUAUGGUAGAGGGUGGUGGAAUUUCCUGUGUAGCGGUGAAAUGCGUAGAUAUAGGAAGGAACACCAGUGGCGAAGGCGACCACCUGGACUGAUACUGACACUGAGGUGCGAAAGC